GAUGAACGCUAGCUACAGGCUUAACACAUGCAAGUCGAGGGGCAGCAUGAACUUAGCUUGCUAAGUUUGAUGGCGACCGGCGCACGGGUGAGUAACACGUAUCCAACCUGCCGAUGACUCGGGGAUAGCCUUUCGAAAGAAAGAUUAAUACCCGAUGGCAUAGUUCUUUCGCAUGGUAGAACUAUUAAAGAAUUUCGGUCAUCGAUGGGGAUGCGUUCCAUUAGGUUGUUGGCGGGGUAACGGCCACCAAGCCUUCAAUGGAUAGGGGUUCUGAGAGGAAGGUCCCCCCACAUUGGAACUGAGACACGGUCCAAACUCCUACGGGAGGCAGCAGUGAGGAAUAUUGGUCAAUGGACGAGAGUCUGAACCAGCCAAGUAGCGUGAAGGAUGAAGGUCCUACGGAUUGUAAACUUCUUUUAUAAGGGAAUAAACCCUCCCACGUGUGGGAGCUUGUAUGUACCUUAUGAAUAAGCAUCGGCUAACUCCGUG
Molecule: ribosomal RNA, 489 nt
Filed under: uncultured bacterium
Lineage: Bacteria
Description: bacterial SSU rRNA
Rfam family: Bacterial small subunit ribosomal RNA
Source: RNAcentral